RNAcentral lists this ribosomal RNA (253 nucleotides) under uncultured bacterium. Its description in RNAcentral is "partial 16S ribosomal RNA". It matches the Rfam family "Bacterial small subunit ribosomal RNA", at positions 524 to 776 of the family's 1533-position model. The record is from RNAcentral.
UACGUAGGGUGCAAGCGUUGUCCGGAAUUAUUGGGCGUAAAGAGCUCGUAGGCGGUCUGUUGCGUCGGCUGUGAAAACCCGGGGCUCAACCCCGGGCCUGCAGCCGAUACGGGCAGACUAGAGUUCGGCAGGGGAGACUGGAAUUCCUGGUGUAGCGGUGAAAUGCGCAGAUAUCAGGAGGAACACCAAUAGCGAAGGCAGCUCGCUGGGACGUUACUGACGCUGAGGCGCGAAAGCGUGGGUAGCGAACAGG